GAUGAACGCUGGCGGCGUGCCUAAUACAUGCAAGUCGAGCGAACAGAUAAGGAGCUUGCUCCUUUGACGUUAGCGGCGGACGGGUGAGUAACACGUGGGUAACCUACCUAUAAGACUGGGAUAACUUCGGGAAACCGGAGCUAAUACCGGAUAAUAUUUCGAACCGCAUGGUUCGAUAGUGAAAGAUGGUUUUGCUAUCACUUAUAGAUGGAUCCGCGCCGUAUUAGCUAGUUGGUAAGGUAACGGCUUACCAAGGCGACGAUACGUAGCCGACCUGAGAGGGUGAUCGGCCACACUGGAACUGAGACACGGUCCAGACUCCUACGGGAGGCAGCAGUAGGGAAUCUUCCGCAAUGGGCGAAAGCCUGACGGAGCAACGCCGCGUGAGUGAUGAAGGUCUUCGGAUCGUAAAACUCUGUUAUUAGGGAAGAACAUACGUGUAAGUAACUGUGCACGUCUUGACGGUACCUAAUCAGAAAGCCACGGCUAACUACGUG
Molecule: ribosomal RNA, 497 nt
Filed under: uncultured bacterium
Lineage: Bacteria
Description: partial 16S ribosomal RNA
Rfam family: Bacterial small subunit ribosomal RNA
Source: RNAcentral